UGCACGACAGUCAGUUUUUGGCAGAUAUCCAUGGCGUUCUCAUAAAAGGAAGGCGUGCCCUUGGCUGCUACACCUAAGAAACAGCGCUAGGGGUCGGAGGGAACCAGGGCGCAGCUCCCGACCUGCUACUACGAAGGAUACUUGGAAAAACGGGCCGGAACGAAAAGUAUGUGGAGAAGAUGGACCUCAGUGGCUUUGUCUCACUGAAAGACGACUGCAGCCGAGACAGAAACCUGGAAGCAGCUACAAUCAUCCUACGCAUGACGGAUGGAGAGAACUCACAGUUGCCAAUCUGGAGGCUCGAGAGCUGUGGAAAGGUUUCAUCUACUCUGUCAUAGAUAUAAGU
Molecule: long non-coding RNA, 346 nt
Organism: Oncorhynchus tshawytscha (Chinook salmon)
Lineage: Eukaryota; Metazoa; Chordata; Actinopteri; Salmoniformes; Salmonidae
Source: Ensembl